RNAcentral lists this ribosomal RNA (465 nucleotides) under Vreelandella stevensii. RNAcentral describes it as "partial 16S ribosomal RNA". It matches the Rfam family "Bacterial small subunit ribosomal RNA", at positions 338 to 795 of the family's 1533-position model. The record is from RNAcentral. Lineage: Bacteria; Pseudomonadati; Pseudomonadota; Gammaproteobacteria; Oceanospirillales; Halomonadaceae.
CCUACGGGGGGCAGCAGUGGGGAAUAUUGGACAAUGGGCGAAAGCCUGAUCCAGCCAUGCCGCGUGUGUGAAGAAGGCCUUCGGGUUGUAAAGCACUUUCAGUGGGGAAGAAAGCCUUGGGGCUAAUACCCUCGAGGAAGGACAUCACCCACAGAAGAAGCACCGGCUAACUCCGUGCCAGCAGCCGCGGUAAUACGGAGGGUGCGAGCGUUAAUCGGAAUUACUGGGCGUAAAGCGCGCGUAGGCGGUCUGAUAAGCCGGUUGUGAAAGCCCCGGGCUCAACCUGGGAACGGCAUCCGGAACUGUCAGGCUAGAGUGCAGGAGAGGAAGGUAGAAUUCCCGGUGUAGCGGUGAAAUGCGUAGAGAUCGGGAGGAAUACCAGUGGCGAAGGCGGCCUUCUGGACUGACACUGACGCUGAGGUGUGAAAGCGUGGGUAGCAAACAGGAUUAGAUACCCCAGUAGUC